RNAcentral lists this ribosomal RNA (273 nucleotides) under uncultured bacterium. RNAcentral's name for it is "partial 16S ribosomal RNA". It matches the Rfam family "Bacterial small subunit ribosomal RNA", at positions 523 to 796 of the family's 1533-position model. The record is from RNAcentral.
AUACGUAGGGUGCGAGCGUUAAUCGGAAUUACUGGGCGUAAAGCGUGCGCAGGCGGCUUUAUAAGCCAGAUGUGAAAUCCGGGGCUCAACCUGGGAACUGCAUUUGGAACUGUAAGGCUAGAGUACGGCAGAGGGGGGUAGAAUUCCACGUGUAGCAGUGAAAUGCGUAGAUAUGUGGAGGAAUACCGAUGGCGAAGGCAGCCCCCUGGGUCGAUACUGACGCUCAUGCACGAAAGCGUGGGGAGCAAACAGGAUUAGAAACCCUAGUAGUCC